GUUGAACGCUGGCGGCAUGCCUUACACAUGCAAGUCGAACGGUAACAGGUCUUCGGAUGCUGACGAGUGGCGAACGGGUGGGUAAUACAUCGGAACGUGCCUAGUAGUGGGGGAUAACUACUCGAAAGAGUGGCUAAUACCGCAUGAGAUCUACGGAUGAAAGCAGGGGAUCGCAAGACCUUGUGCUACUAGAGCGGCCGAUGGCAGAUUAGGUAGUUGGUGGGAUAAAAGCUUACCAAGCCGACGAUCUGUAGCUGGUCUGAGAGGACGAUCAGCCACACUGGGACUGAGACACGGCCCAGACUCCUACGGGAGGCAGCAGUGGGGAAUUUUGGACAAUGGGCGAAAGCCUGAUCCAGCAAUGCCGCGUGCAGGAUGAAGGCCUUCGGGUUGUAAACUGCUUUUGUACGGAACGAAAAGCCCCGGGUUAAUACCCUGGGGUCAUGACGGUACCGUAAGAAUAAGCACCGGCUAACUACGUGCCAGCAGCCGCGGUAA
This 498-nucleotide ribosomal RNA is filed under the name uncultured bacterium. RNAcentral describes it as "partial 16S ribosomal RNA". It matches the Rfam family "Bacterial small subunit ribosomal RNA", at positions 28 to 523 of the family's 1533-position model. The record is from RNAcentral.